AAGACUAUAGACCUGCGGAGUACCUGCGGAAGGAUCAUUACCGAGUUAUCCAACUCCCAACCCCUGUGAAUCAUACCUUUAAUUGUUGCUUCGGCGGGACUUCGCGCCCGCCGGGGACCCAAACCUUCUGAAUUUUUUAAUAAGUAUCUUCUGAGUGGUUAAAAAAAAUGAAUCAAAACUUUCAACAACGGAUCUCU
Molecule: unclassified non-coding RNA, 197 nt
Filed under: soil metagenome
Description: partial contains 5.8S ribosomal RNA, internal transcribed spacer 2, and large subunit ribosomal RNA
Source: RNAcentral